AGUCGGCCGAAACGGCUGGAGUUGCGUACAUCGUCGGCUUAAAGGGGGUUCGUCCAGUCCAACAGAUAUCCGUCCAUCUGUGCUGCAGUGGCUCCCUUCCGGAUUUUACAGCUCACGACGAAGCAGGUGAUCGGUUCGUUCUGCGCAUCGUUCAACGUGACAGUGACAUCCGCCGUUAUUUCCGGGAACGAAGGCUCCACAUAGAAGUUGAACUGAUACGUGACAUCCUCGUCCUUGUCGAUGGGACAGAUGGCACCGUACAGGAGAUUGCGGCACACAUCGGACACUUCGUCGGGUAGGGCAUAUGGCAGAUUCAUGCCCAAAACCUUUGCCGUUGUGGUGGCCGUAAUGCUCUUGAUAUUGUUGUUAUCUGCAAGACAUCGAUGAUGAGAUUCAAGUGGACACGGAUAUAGAUGGCCGAAACUUACUGCCCAGGAAGUGCACCUCCAUGACUGCUAUGGUUCCUUUGUACACAACGCACGGCGGUUCCUCGCAAUCCUUAAUAUUCACAUCCAGUGGAAACGGCUUAUUUUUGCCUGAAAGCGGAAAUAUGUUUUCGAAGAAUCAAAAGAGUUUUUAGCUACUUACACUGCUGGACAUUGGUGGCAUUGACUGUGGCCAGAAUUAGAGCCAAAGUUACAACGAUUCGCAGCAUUUUUCUGGAUGGAAUCUUUUUUAAUCUUACUUCAGAAGAAUACAAUAUACAUUGAGUACGCGCGCACGCAGAUGACAAUCGUGAGUGGAAUCGAUGGGGCUGGUGGAGAACCUUAAAUAGCCCCGUGUUCGAACGAUGACCAACGCCUGUAGAGAGCAGUUUAUCAAAAUCGGUGGCUAUUGCCAUUGAUACGGGGCCGCCACGCAGGUGUUACAAAAGAAAACCACUGUGGCCUGCAGGUGUUGCGCUCUGACGAAGAGCAAACAAUGCCGAUUCGAAUCAGUAAAUAACGUAAAUUUGGCUGAUAAGUAGGGAGAGGCUGAACUACAAUGUUGCCGGCUAUACCUAGUAAACAAAACAGCCAGAGGGUUUGAUCGAGCAAUCAAAUUUAAAAAAGCGGCCGAUUAAUUUCCUAUCGAUCGUGAUUGAAGACUUUGUGUCAUCGAAGACUGCACAUCUCUAACUAUGGCCGUUCAAAACAUAAAAUGUAAAC
Molecule: non-coding RNA, 1148 nt
Organism: Drosophila melanogaster (fruit fly)
Lineage: Eukaryota; Metazoa; Arthropoda; Insecta; Diptera; Drosophilidae
Source: Ensembl